RNAcentral lists this long non-coding RNA (204 nucleotides) under Nicotiana benthamiana. RNAcentral describes it as "long non-coding RNA (NBEN_LNC016137)". The record is from RNAcentral. Lineage: Eukaryota; Viridiplantae; Streptophyta; Magnoliopsida; Solanales; Solanaceae.
CGGCCCAAAGGAAUGUUGUUAUUUGGCAGGAACUCGAGGAAGCUUGUGGUGAUAAAUAUGUGACAAUUAUUAAGUUUUUCAUGUGAAUAUUAAGCCGGCCCAAAGGAAGGCUUGAUAGUUGAUAGGAGUUUAUUGUCAAUAUUUGAUUACUACACCAAGAAUACCAAUUACAAGUUGAUUUUCUGUCCAAAGACUAAAAUCAAU